GACGAACGCUGGCGGCGUGCUUAACACAUGCAAGUCGAACGGAAAGGCCCUGCUUUUGUGGGUUGCUCGAUUGGCGAACGGGUGAGUAACACGUGAGUAACCUGCCCUUGACUUUGUGAUAACUUCAGGAAACUGGGGCGAAUACCGCGGAUGAGCUCCUGCUGCAUGUGGUUGGUUGGAGAGUUUCGGCUGUGGGGGAUGGACUCGCAGCUUAUGAGCUGGUUGGGCGGGUAGGUGCGUCCCAAGGCUUUGACGGGUAGCCGGCCUGAGAGGGUGACCGGGCACAUUGGUACUAAGAUAGGCAGCAGAAGGCAACGGGAGGCAGCAGUCGGGAAUCUUGCAGAGUGGCGGGAAGCGAGAUGCAGAAACGCCGCGUGCGGGAUGACCGCUUUCGGGUUGUAAACAGAUUUCGAAGGUGCCGAAGACUGAGUGACGGUAAUGGGUAAAGAAGCAACGGCUAACUACGUG
This 468-nucleotide ribosomal RNA is filed under the name uncultured bacterium. RNAcentral's name for it is "partial 16S ribosomal RNA". It matches the Rfam family "Bacterial small subunit ribosomal RNA", at positions 28 to 507 of the family's 1533-position model. The record is from RNAcentral.